Molecule: ribosomal RNA, 469 nt
Filed under: uncultured microorganism
Description: bacterial SSU rRNA
Rfam family: Bacterial small subunit ribosomal RNA
Source: RNAcentral
GAGUUUGAUCUUGGCUCAGAACGAACGCUGGCGGCAUGCCUAACACAUGCAAGUCGAACGAACUCUUCGGAGUUAGUGGCGCACGGGUGCGUAACGCGUGGGAAUCUGCCCUUGGGUACGGAAUAACUCAGAGAAAUUUGUGCUAAUACCGUAUAAUGACUUCGGUCCAAAGAUUUAUCGCCCAAGGAUGAGCCCGCGUAAGAUUAGCUAGUUGGUGGGGUAAAGGCCUACCAAGGACUACGAUCUUUAGCUGGUCUGAGAGGAUGAUCAGCCACACUGGGACUGAGACACGGCCCAGACUCCUACGGGAGGCAGCAGUGGGGAAUAUUGGACAAUGGGCGAAAGCCUGAUCCAGCAAUGCCGCGUGAGUGAUGAAGGCCUUAGGGUUGUAAAGCUCUUUUACCCGGGAUGAUAAUGACAGUACCGGGAGAAUAAGCUCCGGCUAACUCCGUGCCAGCCGCCGCCGUAA